RNAcentral lists this long non-coding RNA (1008 nucleotides) under Olea europaea subsp. europaea. The record is from RNAcentral. Lineage: Eukaryota; Viridiplantae; Streptophyta; Magnoliopsida; Lamiales; Oleaceae.
ACCAACUCCUACAGUACAACAUCAUAACAUGGUUAUGUUAACCCGAUUUAUUUGCAGUGAAGAAAAAUAAACUGGUUUGCUUACAUCCAAAAUGUUACAAGUUGAGGAAUGGUGUCUUUUGUUGUGUCCACGAGCUCUACAAAUUGAGCACAUCAUAUGCACACGUCCAAUUUUCUUUACAUACGACCUUCCUUACAGGUGCACUAUGACUUCCUCAGGCCCUUUUCUUCUUUUUUCUGUCUUUGCCCUCUUUUGGACACUGUCCAGUUGGGGGGGUUAAUUACUUCCGCAUUUACCUCCGACCGCAGCCUUAGCCCAUUAAUGGGGCUAAGAAUAUUAUUGUAGCAGUUCAAAUAAGACUCGGUCCUAUAGCAAUUAUCCAUAUAAUCCUCUGGCUCAUUCCUGCACUAGCGCAUGAAAGCCAUUGCGUAGAGGCAUGGAAUGCCACUCAACUCUCAUUUCCUACAAGCACAUGUUCUCUCUUCUAGGUCUACCACAAAAGUUCCGUAACUACAUUCCACUUGCCAUUUGGCACCACCCAAUAGUUGUACAAUACACUCCCUCAAAUUUUCAACUAACUUUUGAACCCUCUUUCUAAUCUUUGGACAAAGUUGACCCACAUAAUUACUCAUCUGGUCCUUCCUCCUCUGUAGUCUUCGCAUGAAGCUCAGCUGAAUGGAUCCCGACAUAUCCAGGAUCGAUCCUCUAAAAGCGUCUUAUUGAACCCUUCGCAUCCAUUGUUUAACAGUAUAUCACCCUUGGAAUGAGUUGCAAAAUGGGAUUUGCUCCAGCCCUGUGCGGGUCUUUCCAUCAACCAAAGAAAACCAUUUUCACUAAGUUGUUGGAUUUGUUGCAUCCAAUGUUUGAAGUCCGCAAUAGUGGUUAACUUGGCAGCAUGCCAAAUAUAGUUUUUAGUGUUUUUCCUUUGUGACUAGCAGAGAAGAAAUUGGAGUACAUAUGUCGCACACAAAAUCUAUGCUCCAUCUGAUGUGAUCCAAGAUGGGCUUC